RNAcentral lists this ribosomal RNA (273 nucleotides) under uncultured bacterium. Its description in RNAcentral is "partial 16S ribosomal RNA". It matches the Rfam family "Bacterial small subunit ribosomal RNA", at positions 524 to 796 of the family's 1533-position model. The record is from RNAcentral.
UACGUAGGGUGCGAGCGUUAAUCGGAAUUACUGGGCGUAAAGCGUGCGCAGGCGGUUUGAUAAGACAGGCGUGAAAUCCCCGAGCUCAACUUGGGAAUGGCGCUUGUGACUGUCAGGCUAGAGUAUGUCAGAGGGGGGUAGAAUUCCACGUGUAGCAGUGAAAUGCGUAGAGAUGUGGAGGAAUACCGAUGGCGAAGGCAGCCCCCUGGGACGUCACUGACGCUCAUGCACGAAAGCGUGGGGAGCAAACAGGAUUAGAUACCCCCGUAGUCC